UCGGUUUUACACAAGGGAAGUCGGUAAAAUGGAUCCAUAACCUCGGGAAAAGGAUUGGCUCUGAGGGCUAGGCACGAGAGUCCCAGUCUCGAACCCAUCGACUGUCGGUGAACUGCUUGAGCCGCUUCAACCGUGAGAGCAAGUUGCCGCAUCCUGCCAGGGGACGGACUCAGAACUGGUACAGACAAGUGGAAUUUGACUAUUUAAUUAAAACAAAGCAUUGUGAUGGUCCAUGCGGAGGCUAACACAAUGUGAUUUCUACCAAGUGCUCUGAAUGUCAGAGUGAAGAAAUUCAACCAAGCGCAGGUAAAUGGCAGGAGUAACUAUGACUCUCUUAAGGUAGCCAAAUGCCUCGUCAUCUAAUUAGUGAUGCACAUGAAUGGAUUAAUGAGAUUUCCACUAUCCCUAUCGACUAUCUAACGAAACCAUAGCCAAGGGAACGGGCUUGGCAGAAUCAACGGGGAAAGAAGACCCUAUUGAGCUUAACUCUAGUCCGACUUUGUGAAAUGUCUUGAGAGGUGUAGGAUGAGUGGGAGCCGAAAGGCAAAAGUGAAAUACCACUACUUUUAACGUUAUUUUACUUAUUUCAUGAAAAGGAAGCGCGACACUGCCCCUCUUUUUGGACAUAAGGCUUGCUUUGGCGGGCUGAUUUGGACGAAAGAUAUUGUCAGGUGGGGAGUUUAGCUAGGGCGAAAGAUAUUGUCAAGUGUCCUAAGAUGAGCUCAACGAGAACAGAAAUCUCGUGUAGAACAAAAGGGUAAAAGCUAAUUUGAUUUUGAUUUCCAAUACUAAUAUGAAUUAUGAAGCGUAGCCUAUCGAUCCUUUAGACCUUCGUAAUUUUAAGCUAAAGGUGUCAGAAAAGGUACCACAGGGAUAACUGGCUUGUGGCAGCCAAGUUCAUAGCGAUGUUGCUUUUUUAUCCUUCGAUGUCGACUCUUCCUAUCAUUGUGAAGCAGAAUUCACCAAGUGUUGGAUUGUUCAGUCCCAAAAGAGAAUGUGAGCUGGGUUUAGACCAUCAUGAGACGGGUUAGUUUUACCCUACUGUUGACAGGAACCGUUGAUUCGCACAAUUGGUCAUUGAGCUUGGUUGAAAAGCCAGUGGCGUGAAGCUACCGUGUGCUGGAUUAUGACUAAAUGUCUCCAAGUCAGAAUCUAGGCUAGAAAUGACGCAUGUGCCUAUUGUUCGAUUGUCGGUCAGCAGUAAGGGCCUUUCGGCCCUUAGAGGCACGUGUUGUUGACUAAGCCCUCGUGACAGAUGAGUCGUUGGGGACCCCAUGUAGCGUAAUUCCCAUUGAGCGAUUGGUAGAAUCCCUUAUAGAUGACUUAAAUAUGUGACAAGGUAUUGUAAGUGGUAGAGUGGCCUUACUACCACAAUCCAUUGUGGUUCAACUCUUCGUCGGUCCGAUUC
Molecule: non-coding RNA, 1408 nt
Filed under: Cucumis melo (muskmelon)
Lineage: Eukaryota; Viridiplantae; Streptophyta; Magnoliopsida; Cucurbitales; Cucurbitaceae
Description: Eukaryotic large subunit ribosomal RNA
Rfam family: Eukaryotic large subunit ribosomal RNA
Source: Rfam by way of RNAcentral